RNAcentral lists this ribosomal RNA (638 nucleotides) under Pseudomonas sp. EECC-355. Its description in RNAcentral is "bacterial SSU rRNA". It matches the Rfam family "Bacterial small subunit ribosomal RNA", at positions 97 to 731 of the family's 1533-position model. Lineage: Bacteria; Pseudomonadati; Pseudomonadota; Gammaproteobacteria; Pseudomonadales; Pseudomonadaceae. The record is from RNAcentral.
GGCGGACGGGUGAGUAAUGCCUAGGAAUCUGCCUGGUAGUGGGGGAUAACGUUCGGAAACGGACGCUAAUACCGCAUACGUCCUACGGGAGAAAGCAGGGGACCUUCGGGCCUUGCGCUAUCAGAUGAGCCUAGGUCGGAUUAGCUAGUUGGUGAGGUAAUGGCUCACCAAGGCGACGAUCCGUAACUGGUCUGAGAGGAUGAUCAGUCACACUGGAACUGAGACACGGUCCAGACUCCUACGGGAGGCAGCAGUGGGGAAUAUUGGACAAUGGGCGAAAGCCUGAUCCAGCCAUGCCGCGUGUGUGAAGAAGGUCUUCGGAUUGUAAAGCACUUUAAGUUGGGAGGAAGGGCAGUUGCCUAAUACGUAACUGUUUUGACGUUACCGACAGAAUAAGCACCGGCUAACUCUGUGCCAGCAGCCGCGGUAAUACAGAGGGUGCAAGCGUUAAUCGGAAUUACUGGGCGUAAAGCGCGCGUAGGUGGUUUGUUAAGUUGGAUGUGAAAUCCCCGGGCUCAACCUGGGAACUGCAUUCAAAACUGACUGACUAGAGUAUGGUAGAGGGUGGUGGAAUUUCCUGUGUAGCGGUGAAAUGCGUAGAUAUAGGAAGGAACACCAGUGGCGAAGGCGACCACCUG